GGGGCUAUAGCUCAUCUGGCAGAGCGUCUCGUUCGCAACGAGAAGGCAGCGAGUUCGAUUCUCGUUAGCUCCA
RNAcentral lists this transfer RNA (73 nucleotides) under Firmicutes bacterium CAG:345. It matches the Rfam family "tRNA". From Rfam's summary of the family: Transfer RNA (tRNA) molecules are approximately 80 nucleotides in length. Their secondary structure includes four short double-helical elements and three loops (D, anti-codon, and T loops). Lineage: Bacteria; Bacillati; Bacillota. The record is from Rfam by way of RNAcentral.